CACAUUUCCAUCCAGUCACCCAGGUCUCUGCCCGGCUUCUGGGACAGCUCCCAGCCCCACCCAGCUCUGCACCUUGGAAGUAAAAGGUACUGGACAUUGCCAUUUGUCAGGAGGUGACCACCAUGUUGUCUUCACAGCAUGCGGGCUGCUGUCUGGAGUCUCUGGCCCAAAAUCCACUUUGUGGCUUCCCUGCUGCCUGCAGCAACCCCCACUCUGAAGAAGGAACCCCAACUGCCGUGGGUGCAGGAAACGGCGCAGAAGACGGAACCAGCAGCUUCAGGCCGCACAGGGUGGCAGUUUCUCAAUGGCCGUUGGAGGAACUUCCGCAGAAAGCCUGUCUAGAGCCCUCGAUGGAGGCCGGGGAUUGCCAGCUUGGGUGUGUGCACGGCUCCAGCUCUGCCCACGCCACGGUUAAGCACGGAUGGGCCAAAGAGUACGAUCGGUAAGAGAAUUAGGAGCUUGGUUAACAGAGAUGUCCAGCAAGAGGAACUAGGAUCCAUUUGUAUAAGAACAGUGUCCGGGGGUUUUAGAAUCUGCCAUGUCAUCAGUUUGUUCUCUGAUGGUUUGGUGGCUGCCGGGAUAUCAGCAGCAGAACCGGGAAAGUGGGCACAGAGUUCAGCUUCUUACCAUCUCUAGCCCUGGGCAGCACGGUCCGGGUGAACUGAGAUGCUUGGUCCUGUGGAUUUGUUGUCCGACGGUGUCCACCUUCAGAUGCCCACACGUCAGGGUUGGUUUCUGUCUCCACGAGAGGAGGCAGCACAGCUGACCUGGUGCAUAUGCAUCACAGUAUUUACAGCUGGUAAAUGUCUCCUCCUGAGAGAGGAGCUGGACUUUCCGGCAUCAUCAAACAUGAAUGUGUGAAAAGAAAACCCUCCCAGUUAGAGCCCAAAGGCUGUGCAAGGUAGGGAAAGGCCUCCUCGCAGGGCCUCGGUGCGCUGCGGCGUGGCCACAGGAGGAGGCCAGGGCUGUACAGCAGGACAGAGAGGCUUGUGCCGUGUCCACACUGGGCUGGUUCAUUUUCCCGCCAUGCUCAUGGGGACCCGGGGCUCCUCCGUGGAGAGGACAGUCUGCUCAGACGGAGAGGGCAGCGAGGUCCUGUGGCCACUGCCGGACCAACUGAUAGGACGGGUCUGAGCCCGCAGGCUUUGGCCGCAGAGGGGACUCCGCCGGCCAGGGGUCAGCUCUGCAGUUGGGACGUGGACGGGGACCCCUUCAGGUGACCGGGUCAGCAGGGCCAGCAGCUCUGCCCUGCCCUGGGAUGCUGCUUGGACCCCGAGCAUCAGACUCAGGCUCGGUUUGUCUUCAGCCUGCAGCAAGGCCAGCUGCUUGGGUUCGGUCUGUGUGUCCUCUCCCGGGCGUCCUCCACGAGGACAUUCAUGUCCCCUCACCCGGGCCCAUUCUUCAAAGUCUGCCUCUCAGGGUUCUCCGGGCUGAGUCGUAUGGUCUCUUCUGAUCAUCAUUGGUGGCAGCCAAGCGGGCACUUGAAGACACGGCGGGCAUUGUGCUUGAUCUCUUUCCUCAGGCAAGACGACGGGGCCACCUUCGUUCCCCAGUGAUUCUCCCGGGGGUCUCCGGAAUGAGCAGGGGACCACGUGCAGGAAUCUGGGCCUCCAGGUGCUGCCUUCAGGCUGAAUCUGCAUAUCACGACACCUGCAUCUCCGCAUCCUCUGCGUCU
RNAcentral lists this long non-coding RNA (1675 nucleotides) under Cavia porcellus (domestic guinea pig). RNAcentral's name for it is "lncRNA (ENSCPOG00000037385.1)". The record is from RNAcentral. Lineage: Eukaryota; Metazoa; Chordata; Mammalia; Rodentia; Caviidae.